GACGAACGCUGGCGGCGUGCCUAAUACAUGCAAGUAGAACGCACAGUUUAUACCGUAGCUUGCUACACCAUAGACUGUGAGUUGCGAACGGGUGAGUAACGCGUAGGUAACCUGCCUGGUAGCGGGGGAUAACUAUUGGAAACGAUAGCUAAUACCGCAUAAUAUUGAUUAUUGCAUGAUAAUUGAAUGAAAGAUGCUAUUGCAUCACUACCAGAUGGACCUGCGUUGUAUUAGCUAGUAGGUGAGGUAACGGCUCACCUAGGCGACGAUACAUAGCCGACCUGAGAGGGUGAUCGGCCACACUGGGACUGAGACACGGCCCAGACUCCUACGGGAGGCAGCAGUAGGGAAUCUUCGGCAAUGGACGAAAGUCUGACCGAGCAACGCCGCGUGAGUGAAGAAGGUUUUCGGAUCGUAAAGCUCUGUUGUAAGAGAAGAACGGGUGUGAGAGUGGAAAGUUCACACUGUGACGGUAUCUUACCAGAAAGGGACGGCUAACUACGUG
This 505-nucleotide ribosomal RNA is filed under the name uncultured bacterium. RNAcentral's name for it is "partial 16S ribosomal RNA". It matches the Rfam family "Bacterial small subunit ribosomal RNA", at positions 28 to 507 of the family's 1533-position model. The record is from RNAcentral.